This 811-nucleotide long non-coding RNA is filed under the name Mytilus galloprovincialis (Mediterranean mussel). Lineage: Eukaryota; Metazoa; Mollusca; Bivalvia; Mytilida; Mytilidae. The record is from RNAcentral.
UGUGAAAGUUCACUUAGUUGUUUGAAGAUCCUUCUUUUAGUUUUUAUCUGAAGAGUUCAGCACUUUUCAACAUAUUUUUAGUGUUUUCCUUUUGUAGUACUGCUACAAACAGCUCAGGUUAGCACCUUCAAAUUAACGAACCUAGUCUCAUUCUGAAUGUUUUUUUUAUUGUUUUGUCUAGCAUGUUAAUCACCGACAGAGGUUAGGGUUCAUGUUGUUUGUGCUCAUUUGGAGCAAGGAACUCGUUAUCCCAGUGGUAGUUAUUUUCAGUACAUUAUUUUGUAUAUAAAUUUUCAUUUAUGAAUAGUUUUACGUUCAUCUUUUCCAGGUCAGCAGAAUAUGUGGUAUGGGCUUUGCUUAUUCAAAUAUUGUUUUACAAAGGCUGUAGUGACCUAUAGUUGUAAAUUUCGUUCAUUUGAUUUAUUGUGGAGAGUUCUUAGACAUAGGCAAUGCUGCCUCAUCUUUUAUAUAUAUUACCGACCUGGUUUCUUCAGGUCAUGUAUCACUUCAUACCAAUUAUGAAAUAUUGUCUGUCAUGAGUAGUUCCAUCAAACCAACUUCAGCAGAAAACUUUGGGUUUAAAAUCACUAGACCAUAACCCAUCUAGGCCCUCAAAACAUUUAUAUGCCCUUGAACUUCGAAGAGUUUUAAUUUGUACUACCCCUGGAAUUCACCAAUCAAUUCAGCAUCUACAUUCCCAUGCUGCCGAUAUUCAAACUCUGUAAGCCAGUUAUGAUAUUCAGCAUUGUUAACAAGUUUCUUAAACUUUGAAUGAAUAAAAAUUUCAGCAUAGUGUGGAAACAAAAAUCUG